CUACGGAGGGUGCAAGCGUUACUCGGAAUCACUGGGCGUAAAGCGCGCGCAGGUGGUCUUUUAAGUUGGAUGUGAAAGCCUACGGCUCAACCGUAGAACUGCAUCCAAAACUAUUAGACUAGAGUGUGGGAGAGGAAGAUGGAAUUAGUUGUGUAGGGGUAAAAUCCGUAGAGAUAACUAGGAAUACCAAAAGCGAAGGCAAUCUUCUGGAACACUACUGACGCUGAGGCGCGAAAGCGUGGGGAGCAAACAGGAUUAGAAACCCCGGUAGUCC
RNAcentral lists this ribosomal RNA (274 nucleotides) under uncultured bacterium. RNAcentral describes it as "partial 16S ribosomal RNA". It matches the Rfam family "Bacterial small subunit ribosomal RNA", at positions 523 to 796 of the family's 1533-position model. The record is from RNAcentral.